UACGUAGGGGGCAAGCGUUGUCCGGAAUCAUUGGGCGUAAAGCGCACGUAGGCGGCCCGAUAAGUCCGCUGUGAAAGUCCAGGGCUCAACCCUGGAAAGCCGGUGGAUACUGUCGGGCUAGAGUCCGGAAGAGGCGAGUGGAAUUCCUGGUGUAGCGGUGGAAUGCGCAGAUAUCAGGAGGAACACCAAAGGCGAAGGCAGCUCGCUGGGACGGUACUGACGCUGAGGUGCGAAAGCGUGGGGAGCGAACAGG
This 253-nucleotide ribosomal RNA is filed under the name uncultured bacterium. RNAcentral's name for it is "partial 16S ribosomal RNA". It matches the Rfam family "Bacterial small subunit ribosomal RNA", at positions 524 to 776 of the family's 1533-position model. The record is from RNAcentral.